UUAGCAAGCACGUUCUCCAGACUGUAAACCUCAGAAGACACGACCUGCCAGGGACAAAAAUUUAAGAGGUGCGAAAAAAAACCCAAGUGAGACAUUAUUCCAAAGAAUUCAGGUCUCCUGUGUCACAGGGGCCUUGCAAAGGUGAAACAGUGUCAGUAACCUUCAAGGCACACAAAGAGGUACCAGCAAACUUGCCCUUCUGAUGUUCAGAAUGGUGCAGGUGAAGCUGCAAUCCAUAGCCUGGUGGAUUUUCGGUCCACGCCUGGCAAGAUGACUGAUCCGUCACAGGAUGGCUUUUUAACGGGGUUGAGAUUCACUACGAGCCACCACAUCUUUUUCAACAGAGAGCUUCAACAGCCACAAUACCUUGUCACUUCAGAGACACCUGGAUUUCUGCGGCUAUCUUUGUCCAUAAAUGAAUUAUGGCUAGGGCACAAGGACAAUUUAAUUAGCAGCUGAUCCGGGUUAUUGGGCUAUGUGCCAAACUUCAAGCCAACUUCUUAGAGGACUCGAUAUCCUGGGUUCCCGCGGCCGAGAGAAGGAGGAAAGAUCUGCCCCGCCACCCACACACUGAAAAGACGACGAAGCACGGGAAGACUCCCACCUCAAAUCACCCGAGUCCCCCGAGAUUCGCAUUUAUUCUCCAAUCUACAAGGGGAGAAGCACAAUCUGAGCAGGGCUCUUAGGCAGCCUUCAAGGCUAGGUGGCUGCUGACACACCAGGAUCGAGAUCCUCUUUUGUACAGAGAAAAAAAUGCUGAAAGACAAAGGCAAACACAGACAAAAAAAGCCCAAGAAAACGUGUGUGGUUUGUGCCACCCCCUCCUCCACCCCCCUGCCCUGCACACUCCAGGCCAGGCCGCUCCCGGUGUUUCAGGGAGGGGAGACCCUGCACUCAGACUGGCUCCUCUUCUGAUGCGACCUGCUUCGACAUGCUGUCGUCAUUCCGGCCAACGAGGAAGGCAGCAAGGCCACCUCAGCACGUGUCUGCUCCCUUCCCCACUCCCCUGACAAGAGCUGGGCGGUCAGUCUACACACAUGGAAGACAGAGGGCACCAAAAAGCUCUGUGAAUAAAACUUUAAUAAUGUACAGCAGAAAUUGGACAGGCUCAUUCUUAUAUUAAAACAAAAGAUUUCCUAUAUUACAACUUAUUUACAUUUGCAUACUGAAGAGGUAAAGUGUCUAAGUGGCUAUUUUACAGUCCUUUCUAAUAAAAUGUACAAAAACAAACAGAAGUACCGAGAAUGCCGUUCGGGGGCCUUGAUGGCGACGUAAGAACGGGCUUUGACUUGGUCUGUGAAUCCAGAAUCCAGAGGUGUAGGUAGCCCUACGGAUCAGGGUUAGUUAGCCCCAGGGGCCAAACACCACGGCUUUAGGCUUUAGUUUCUCCCCAACUCUCUAACUCCUAACCCUUGGUGUUAAGAGCGAUGGGGACAGGGGUGGGAGCUUCCCAAAAAACCGCUCAGUCUUCCCCGAGGUGUGGUGAGGCCAGGAGGUCCCCCUGGGGAGAGGGCUAGAGGCUUGGGAGUCCCUGGGUCGAGGAGUGUUGGCAGAUCCCAGAGGCUGGUUGUGACCGGGGCACAGGAGUCUAAGUUCCAUUACCACCCACACCCUGCCUGGGUCUGCUGCAGAGCAGGUAGGUGGGGGGUCAGCAGGGCUGGGGAAAGAAGGUCCCCCUAAUGACACCAUUGGUAUUCAAGGGAAAUUAGUCAGUAGCCAGCAAACUGGCCCAAAGGGUGAGGCGAAGAUCUCCUUUAACGCAAGGGAAGAAGCAACACGUCAGGAAAAUAAAUAGGAAGACCGGGAGCAUCUGGGAGACCCGUGUAAGCAGGGAGAGGCGUGCCCCUCCUCCACAAGCUUUGGCAGAGAAUCACUGGGCUGGAGGCAGGCAUGCUCUCAGGCUGCAGACAUCAUAUGCCUCCCCUGGGGGCAGGAAGGGGGCUCAGAAUGAAUGCAGUAAUUUAGGGUCUCACUGCCCACUGCAGGGCUCUUUGGGGGUAUGGAGGGAUCCUGGUCCUUGGUGGUCUUUUCUAAGAGCAAUCAUUCCAGGCUCAAAAGGCUCUCAGAACCAACGGUACAAACUUCUGGUCUUGAAACAGGCACCCACUAACUUGACUCGGCAACUUCUUCAGUGUUCCAAGAGUAGGACCCAAGCCUGUCUUGCUCACAUACGUAUUCCAAGUGCCCAGCACAAUGCCUGACACACAACAGGUACGCAGCAAACAUCUGUUGAGUAAAUGCCUGGAGGAGAAGGCGCAACCGGCUGGACAAUGCACAAAAGGCCAGGGCCCUGAAGCAAAAACCACUCACAGAAUUGAGGGGUGGGGGGCACAGUGCAAGAGAGACUAACCUCCAGGGCAAAGAGGGAGGGACUCUCGCUGCUCGGUGGGAACAGGCUCAGGUGCAAGGACAAACAUUUCCAGUGUGACUGAGCUAUGUGCGCUUGAUUGGAGCAUUUUUUUUUUUUUUUGUGGUUGUUUUGUAGCAAUUUCUUUAAAAACAAAGAGGUAAUCAUCACAUAGAGAUGGUUUUCCUUUUAUAAAAA
Molecule: long non-coding RNA, 2545 nt
Organism: Leopardus geoffroyi (Geoffroy's cat)
Lineage: Eukaryota; Metazoa; Chordata; Mammalia; Carnivora; Felidae
Exons: 2
Source: RefSeq, a predicted model, not a curated record